GUCCAAGUGUGUACAUUUUAUCAGAAAUACAAGAGUCUCGUAUCAUAUACGCUCCGGCUUACGUUUUACAAGAUAAGCACACAAGAAUAUACAAAGUUGUUGAAACGUCGCGUAUUCCAUCGGAAUACUCACUCAUUCUUAUCCACAGUAGAAAAAAAAACGUGAUUGAGGAAACCGGAGAACGUUGCAACGAGAACUCGAGUUGGAGGGGCUGCACUCCACUGCAUACAUUCAAGGCACAGCUUCUUGCCUUGCAAGUAGGUAUGCAAACAAUAUAUCGAUACACCUGACCCGAGGCAUCGGUCCAAAUAGAUUUCAAAUAAAGUUUAUUCAACGUUUAUUGUAGUCACCGUCAAUUCGGUUUCGAUGCAUCGAUCGUAGUAUCGUAUCGAUAUUCCCAACCAUGGGUUUUUUACAUUCUUUCCCAAGGGAAACGUUACUGAAAACUUUUAGUAAUAUUGCAUUCACUCACUCAUAUUACUCGUCGCAACGCUGAAUAGACAAGCGAUCCAUUUGGGCGAACGUUAAUUACUUGUCGAUAACAUUUGCACAAUUUUUAUCCCAACGAAACCGCCAAUUUUUUUUUAACAAAAUACCGCCUUACACACCACUGUGCACACCGACAUGCAGCAACGUGCACUGUCGUACUGCGCAUGCGUGUUCGCGAUAAGUCUAAGGAGCUCGACUCAUGGCGGAUUCUUAGUAAGAUAUCUAUUCUUGUUAUUGGAAUAAAGUGAGAUGAACCGAUGCGUAAGAAACUAAGAUGGGAUAGAAUUAGGAGAGAUAUUCUCGUAUAUGCAAUAAGAAAGUCUAAAUAGACGCGAUAAAUUAUUAGGCAAACUACCAUGCGGCAUACGUGUCAUACUUGCGUAUAGGUAUUUUUAAUAUAUAUUUUAGAACGAUUGAACUAUCAUAGAUGACACGUUUAAACUAUCCGGAUGAAACAGGUUUUGUAUAAACAAAAUGUAGAAAAAAAGGUUUAAUGUAAAAUUUAUUAGUCACUAGACUAUAAUAGUUAACGAUAUGAAAUAAAAGUAAUAUUUUCAUGA
Molecule: long non-coding RNA, 1049 nt
Organism: Bombus huntii
Lineage: Eukaryota; Metazoa; Arthropoda; Insecta; Hymenoptera; Apidae
Exons: 2
Source: RefSeq, a predicted model, not a curated record